UCCUAGUUAACCUAGGCAGUCUCGUUAGAGUUCCCGCCAUUACGCGCUGGCAACUAACGAUAAGGGUUGCGCUCGUUGCUGGACUUAACCAAACACCUCACGGCACGAGCUGACGACAGCCAUGCAGCACCUAUAUAGAGACCCUUUCGGGAUAGACAAUCUCUUGCCUAGUCCUCUACAUUUCGAGCCCAGGUAAGGUUCUUCGCGUUGCAUCGAAUUAAACCACAUGCUCCACUGCUUGUGCGGGCCCCCGUCAAUUCUUUUGAGUUUCACCCUUGCGAGCGUACUCCCCAGGUGGCAUACUUAACGCGAGGAAGGUGGGGAUGACGUUGACGUC
Molecule: unclassified non-coding RNA, 337 nt
Filed under: uncultured Chlamydiales bacterium
Lineage: Bacteria; Pseudomonadati; Chlamydiota; Chlamydiia; Chlamydiales
Description: contains 16S-23S intergenic spacer region
Source: RNAcentral